UACGAAGGGGGCUAGCGUUGUUCGGAAUUACUGGGCGUAAAGCGCGCGCAGGCGGCUAUCCAAGUCAGUGGUGAAAGCCCGGAGCUCAACUCCGGAACUGCCAUUGAAACUGUUUAGCUUGAGGAUGAGAGAGGUGAGUGGAAUUCCUGGUGUAGCGGUGAAAUGCGUAGAUAUCAGGAGGAACACCUGUGGCGAAAGCGGCUCACUGGACCAUGACUGACGCUGAUGCACGAAAGCUAGGGGAGCAAACAGG
This 253-nucleotide ribosomal RNA is filed under the name uncultured bacterium. RNAcentral describes it as "partial 16S ribosomal RNA". It matches the Rfam family "Bacterial small subunit ribosomal RNA", at positions 524 to 776 of the family's 1533-position model. The record is from RNAcentral.